UACAGAGGGUGCAAGCGUUGUUCGGAAUUAUUGGGCGUAAAGCGCGUGUAGGCGGCUUUGCAAGUCGGGUGUGAAAGCCCUCAGCUUAACUGAGGAAGUGCGCCCGAAACUGCAGAGCUUGAAUACCGGAGAGGAUGGCGGAAUUCCCCAAGUAGAGGUGAAAUUCGUAGAUAUGGGGAGGAACACCGGUGGCGAAGGCGGCCAUCUGGACGGCUAUUGACGCUGAGGAGCGAAAGCGUGGGGAGCGAACAGG
This 253-nucleotide ribosomal RNA is filed under the name uncultured bacterium. RNAcentral describes it as "partial 16S ribosomal RNA". It matches the Rfam family "Bacterial small subunit ribosomal RNA", at positions 524 to 776 of the family's 1533-position model. The record is from RNAcentral.